CUGAUGUAACUUAGCUGUGACAGGAAGAGCAUCUUUUGAAUAUUUUUUAAAGCUGGCAGGACCUUGGAACUUCCUUUAUCUUCAUCCCACUAGAAAUAAGAAAGACCCUGUAUCUGUGUGAGUGCCUAUGAUACAUUGCUCUCUGAUCAUUCUGGUGGCCCUACUGUGAUCUUGUUAAAGACGUCAAACUAUUGAAAUGAGUCAGUGGAAGGCUACAAUGUACAAACUGAAUGCACAACCAGAGAAUAGGUGAUGCUGAUGAGCUUCCUUCAAAGGUGAGGAGUGGCUAUCGCCGUCAGUGCUACAAGUGAUGUUAAAGGCGGAAUGGAUGUUGAUAUUCAUGAAUAACAAAUGUGAAUACAAAUAAUAGUUCCACUUUGACGCCAGAUGAUGCUACUUUCUACUUGGCAUUGAUGCAAGAUGUUUGUAAACUGGAUCUGACGUUUUGGGAUCCACUCUUUGUGGCUUUAGCUGGAGAUCUUUUCGCCUAAUAAAUGCUUGCCAGCCUGUGCUAAUGUGUGUGUGCAUGGUAACAGACGGUUAUUUGUGUAUUUUAGUAUUCAAUCUGUUUUAGGUUAAAUUCCUUGGUGAAGGUCAUCCUCUGAAGGGAGUUUUCAGUCUUUUAGCGCACGGCAUCAAGUAUUCUUUUUUCACUGAACAGUGGGUUAAUUUACAAAACCCUUUAUCGUUCAGUUCUUUUGUCAGUCCAUUCCAGACACAAGCUUUUGUGUGGUCCCACAAGACUAGCAGUUACUCAUCCAUCAUUUCAUGUAGUGUUUGAUUGAAACAGGUUUACCCAAGGACUGUUGCCAGUGAAGUGUUCUUCCCCGUAGUGCCUAGUGUGUGAAGGAGCUUUGCUGUAACUGUCGUCAGUGUUGUGAAUGUUUUGCUAUUUUGUGUGUUAUUAAUUUUGAUGCCAUUUUGUGAUAGUGUUAAUCUUGGUUCUUUUUUGUUUUUGCUGUACUGAGUAUUUUUAUUUGGCUGUAGAUCUAUAAUUAUUUAUUGUAUUACAGCAAUUUUUAUUGCAAAUUUUAU
This is a long non-coding RNA of Amphimedon queenslandica, 1035 nucleotides long. RefSeq lists it as uncharacterized. Lineage: Eukaryota; Metazoa; Porifera; Demospongiae; Haplosclerida; Niphatidae. The transcript has 3 exons. The record is from RefSeq and is a predicted model, not a curated record.